CCCACACAGUGCCCACAUGCGUGAUUCUUUCUUGCCCCAAAAUGUCAAGUGGCGACUUGAAAAAAACGUGGCCCAGCCCAGUCUCUCGUUAGGCAAAUGUUUCUAGCCUCCGAAACUUUCCUAUGGCGAAAUAGGUAUUGGUUUGACAGGGUUCGCUUACAGCCUUCAGGGUCCGAAUUGUAAGUUUGGCUGUGUUUAUGUUCAAGUUAUAUUCUUGUCUGAAAGGAGGGUUUCUGGUGUUUCUGUCAGGGAGUGGUAGCGGUUUUUUCCCGCUUGAGGCCAUCCUGUCUGUCUUUAAUACUGUGUUUAGAAGAGGACGGGAAACGAAAGAAAGCAGAGAGCCAACAUGAUAUUGAAGGGACAAAACAUCUUCUUAUCCAUACC
Molecule: small RNA, 384 nt
Filed under: Histoplasma capsulatum
Lineage: Eukaryota; Fungi; Ascomycota; Eurotiomycetes; Onygenales; Ajellomycetaceae
Also listed under: 1 other name
Description: hypothetical RNA
Source: RNAcentral